This 723-nucleotide ribosomal RNA is filed under the name Penicillium sp. Its description in RNAcentral is "SSU rRNA". It matches the Rfam family "Eukaryotic small subunit ribosomal RNA", at positions 73 to 806 of the family's 1831-position model. The record is from RNAcentral. Lineage: Eukaryota; Fungi; Ascomycota; Eurotiomycetes; Eurotiales; Aspergillaceae.
UUUAUACUGUGAAACUGCGAAUGGCUCAUUAAAUCAGUUAUCGUUUAUUUGAUAGUACCUUACUACAUGGAUACCUGUGGUAAUUCUAGAGCUAAUACAUGCUAAAAACCCCGACUUCAGGAAGGGGUGUAUUUAUUAGAUAAAAAACCAACGCCCUUCGGGGCUCCUUGGUGAAUCAUAAUAACUUAACGAAUCGCAUGGCCUUGCGCCGGCGAUGGUUCAUUCAAAUUUCUGCCCUAUCAACUUUCGAUGGUAGGAUAGUGGCCUACCAUGGUGGCAACGGGUAACGGGGAAUUAGGGUUCGAUUCCGGAGAGGGAGCCUGAGAAACGGCUACCACAUCCAAGGAAGGCAGCAGGCGCGCAAAUUACCCAAUCCCGAUACGGGGAGGUAGUGACAAUAAAUACUGAUACGGGGCUCUUUCGGGUCUCGUAAUUGGAAUGAGAACAAUUUAAAUCCCUUAACGAGGAACAAUUGGAGGGCAAGUCUGGUGCCAGCAGCCGCGGUAAUUCCAGCUCCAAUAGCGUAUAUUAAAGUUGUUGCAGUUAAAAAGCUCGUAGUUGAACCUUGGGUCUGGCUGGCCGGUCCGCCUCACCGCGAGUACUGGUCCGGCUGGACCUUUCCUUCUGGGGAACCCCAUGGCCUUCACUGGCUGUGGGGGGAACCAGGACUUUUACUGUGAAAAAAUUAGAGUGUUCAAAGCAGGCCUUUGCUCGAAUACAUUA